RNAcentral lists this long non-coding RNA (339 nucleotides) under Elaeis guineensis (African oil palm). Its description in RNAcentral is "long non-coding RNA (EGUI_LNC064766)". The record is from RNAcentral. Lineage: Eukaryota; Viridiplantae; Streptophyta; Magnoliopsida; Arecales; Arecaceae.
GAUCGCGAUCAACUCUUUGAACCUUUUCUUGAUCUUUUCUUCUCUUCUUUUCUUGUAUUUUUUUUUUAAUUAUGAAGCAAUCAAGGACUCAAAAAUUAGUAAGUAAAGGAAUGCCCAAGCUCCUCGUGAGCAUGGAGAAGUGGGACGCCCAACACCUUGGGCAUUGAACUUCAAGGAGAGAAGAGAGGGAGAAGAGAGAGAGGGGAUGGGGAGCUUCUAAGGGAGGUGUGGACUGUUGAAAUUUAGAGCUAAGGAGCCUUAUAAAAGGCUCCUUUAAAUAGGCAUAAAGUUUAAAUCCUAUUCAAAACCAAACAAUCACUUAAUACAAGUCCUACAUGC